GCGUAAUGUUCAUAAUAUUUUCAAAGUUGAAAGUUGGAUUAGAAGGAAGGGUUUUGUUUAAGUUUCGGGACGAAACUUCUUUUAAGGGGGGUAGACUGUAAUCCCCCAUAUUUUUAAGAUAUUAAAUUAAAUAGUUUUAAUCAUUUUUAAUUAUUAAAGCUAUUUAAUUUCGGUAUUUAAGAGCAGAAGGGUAUUUUGGUCAUUUUACCAAAAGAGUACUUGAGUAUUUACACAAAGAAAUAUUUUAGUAUUUUCAAGAAAGUAUUUUGUUAAUAUUAGUAGGAAGAUUAUUUUGGAAAUUUAUCAUCAAAUGUAUUUUGGCAAUUUGAUGAGUAAGGGCAUUUUAGUCUUUUACCCAAAUUGACUACCACUAUAAAAAGGGGAAAACCUAAAGUUUCCCAUCAUUUUCCAUCUUCUUCACUAGCCACCAUUUCUCAAAAAGGAGAAGAUCUUGCAAUUAUCAAAGGGAAGUAAAGAGGUUUCAAGAAUAAUUAAAGCCAGUCAAACUUUUGACUGUUGAUUUUUGUGUAAUCAAUAGUUUAGAGAAGAAGUUGCAGGUACAAGUUCUUGAUGUGCAUGGAAAUCAUAAGCAUCCGGAUGGGAGUUUUCGUACACGAGUACUUUAUUAUUUAAACUAUCUUGAAUUUUAUAUUUGACUUUACUUGACCAAUGGGGUCAAGGUUUGACUUUUGAAGAUAGGACUAGUAUGGGAUAGUCUCGGAGUUUGUAAUUCAUUUACAUACUUUCUU
Molecule: long non-coding RNA, 749 nt
Organism: Beta vulgaris subsp. vulgaris (sugar beet)
Lineage: Eukaryota; Viridiplantae; Streptophyta; Magnoliopsida; Caryophyllales; Amaranthaceae
Exons: 3
Source: RefSeq, a predicted model, not a curated record